Molecule: non-coding RNA, 276 nt
Organism: Canis lupus familiaris (dog)
Lineage: Eukaryota; Metazoa; Chordata; Mammalia; Carnivora; Canidae
Source: Rfam
AUGUGAGGGUGAUCUGGUUGUGACAUCUGUCACCCCAUUGAUCACAAGGGUUGGCUUGGAUGAUCUGGCUGGCUAAGUUGGUGUCCCAGUUCCUCCCUUAUGGCUCGAUGUGUGUCCCUCCUGAAGCUGUACACUCAAACUAAGAGGACCACCUUCCUGGAUAGAGGAGGAUCAUUCUUUGGUCAAGAGGAUAUGAGUAGCUAUGCUCUCUUGCCAGAACCUACAAACAAGCUCUCAAGGUCUUGUCUUGUCUUUUCUUUUCUUUCUUUUCUUUUC